This 1059-nucleotide ribosomal RNA is filed under the name Salmonella enterica subsp. enterica serovar Kentucky. RNAcentral describes it as "partial 23S ribosomal RNA". It matches the Rfam family "Bacterial large subunit ribosomal RNA", at positions 566 to 1550 of the family's 2925-position model. The record is from RNAcentral. Lineage: Bacteria; Pseudomonadati; Pseudomonadota; Gammaproteobacteria; Enterobacterales; Enterobacteriaceae.
AAAGCAUUCUCUGGUGUUGAAGGCCCUGCAAAGCAGCAUCGCGGUGGCGGAGCGUCGUUUGCGACGCCCAACACACAAAACAAGCGGUGAGUGCUUUGGGGUGGGGUGACUGCGUACCUUUUGUAUAAUGGGUCAGCGACUUAUAUUCUGUAGCAAGGUUAACCGUAUAGGGGAGCCGAAGGGAAACCGAGUCUUAACUGGGCGUUAAGUUGCAGGGUAUAGACCCGAAACCCGGUGAUCUAGCCAUGGGCAGGUUGAAGGUUGGGUAACACUAACUGGAGGACCGAACCGACUAAUGUUGAAAAAUUAGCGGAUGACUUGUGGCUGGGGGUGAAAGGCCAAUCAAACCGGGAGAUAGCUGGUUCUCCCCGAAAGCUAUUUAGGUAGCGCCUCGUGAACUCAUCUUCGGGGGUAGAGCACUGUUUCGGCUAGGGGGUCAUCCCGACUUACCAACCCGAUGCAAACUGCGAAUACCGAAGAAUGUUAUCACGGGAGACACACGGCGGGUGCUAACGUCCGUCGUGAAGAGGGAAACAACCCAGACCGCCAGCUAAGGUCCCAAAGUCACAGUUAAGUGGGAAACGAUGUGGGAAGGCUCAGACAGCCAGGAUGUUGGCUUAGAAGCAGCCAUCAUUUAAAGAAAGCGUAAUAGCUCACUGGUCGAGUCGGCCUGCGCGGAAGAUGUAACGGGGCUAAACUGUGCACCGAAGCUGCGGCAGCGACGCUUAUGCGUUGUUGGGUAGGGGAGCGUUCUGUAAGCCUGCGAAGGUGUCCUGUGAGGGAUGCUGGAGGUAUCAGAAGUGCGAAUGCUGACAUAAGUAACGAUAAUGCGGGUGAAAAGCCCGCUCGCCGGAAGACCAAGGGUUCCUGUCCAACGUUAAUCGGGGCAGGGUGAGUCGACCCCUAAGGCGAGGCCGAAAGGCGUAGUCGAUGGGAAACGGGUUAAUAUUCCCGUACUUGGUGUUACUGCGAAGGGGGGACGGAGAAGGCUAUGUUGGCCGGGCGACGGUUGUCCCGGUUUAAGCGUGUAGGCUGGUUUUCCAGGCAAAUCCGGAAAAU